RNAcentral lists this ribosomal RNA (454 nucleotides) under uncultured bacterium. RNAcentral describes it as "bacterial SSU rRNA". It matches the Rfam family "Bacterial small subunit ribosomal RNA", at positions 25 to 518 of the family's 1533-position model. The record is from RNAcentral.
CAGGAUAAACGCUGGCGGCGUGCCUAACACAUGCAAGUCGAACGCCCUGCGCAAGCAGGGAGUGGCGGACGGGUGAGGAACGCGUGGGGAUCUACCCAGAGGUGAGGAAUACCGGCGAGAAAUCGCCGACAAUACCGCAUACGCUUCGCGAGAAGCAAAGUCGCAAGACGCCUGUGGAUGAACCUGCGCCCGAUUAGCUAGCUGGUGGGGUAAAAGCCUACCAGGGCGACGAUCGGUAGCUGGUCUGAGAGGACGAUCAGCCACACUGGGAUUGAGAACGGCCCAGACUCCUACGGGGGCAGCAGUGAGGAAUUUUCGUCAAUGGGGGGCCAACCCUGAACGAGCAACGCCGCGUGCAGGAAGAAGGUUUUCGGAUCGUAAACUGCUUUUCUGUGGGAAGAGAACGGACGGUACCACAGGAAGAAGCCCCGGCUAACUACGUGCCAGCCGCCGC